This 2881-nucleotide ribosomal RNA is filed under the name Burkholderia multivorans. Its description in RNAcentral is "23S ribosomal RNA". It matches the Rfam family "Bacterial large subunit ribosomal RNA". The record is from RNAcentral. Lineage: Bacteria; Pseudomonadati; Pseudomonadota; Betaproteobacteria; Burkholderiales; Burkholderiaceae.
GGUCAAGCGAACAAGUGCAUGUGGUGGAUGCCUUGGCGAUCACAGGCGAUGAAGGACGCGGUAGCCUGCGAAAAGCCCCGGGGAGCUGGCAAACAAGCUUUGAUCCGGGGAUGUCCGAAUGGGGAAACCCACUCCGUAUGGAGUAUCCAUAGCUGAAUACAUAGGCUAUGUGAAGCGAACGCGGUGAACUGAAACAUCUAAGUAACCGCAGGAAAAGAAAUCAACCGAGAUUCCCAAAGUAGUGGCGAGCGAAAUGGGAUGAGCCUUGUACUCUUUAUUUGUAUUGUUAGCCGAACGCUCUGGAAAGUGCGGCCAUAGCAGGUGAUAGCCCUGUAGGCGAAAACAGUAUGAAAGAACUAGGUGUACGACAAGUAGGGCGGGACACGUGAAAUCCUGUCUGAAGAUGGGGGGACCAUCCUCCAAGGCUAAAUACUCGUGAUCGACCGAUAGUGAACCAGUACCGUGAGGGAAAGGCGAAAAGAACCCCGGGAGGGGAGUGAAAUAGAUCCUGAAACCGCAUGCAUACAAACAGUCGGAGCCUCGUAAGGGGUGACGGCGUACCUUUUGUAUAAUGGGUCAGCGACUUACGUUCAGUAGCAAGCUUAACCGUAUAGGGCAGGCGUAGCGAAAGCGAGUCCGAAUAGGGCGUUCAGUUGCUGGGCGUAGACCCGAAACCAGGUGAUCUAUCCAUGGCCAGGAUGAAGGUGCGGUAACACGUACUGGAGGUCCGAACCCACUAACGUUGAAAAGUUAGGGGAUGAGCUGUGGAUAGGGGUGAAAGGCUAAACAAACCUGGAAAUAGCUGGUUCUCUCCGAAAACUAUUUAGGUAGUGCCUCGUGUCUCACCUUCGGGGGUAGAGCACUGUCAUGGUUGGGGGGUCUAUUGCAGAUUACCCCGCCAUAGCAAACUCCGAAUACCGAAGAGUGCAAUCACGGGAGACAGACAUCGGGUGCUAACGUCCGGUGUCAAGAGGGAAACAACCCAGACCGCCAGCUAAGGUCCCCAAAUAUGGCUAAGUGGGAAACGAAGUGGGAAGGCUAAAACAGUCAGGAGGUUGGCUUAGAAGCAGCCACCCUUUAAAGAAAGCGUAAUAGCUCACUGAUCGAGUCGUCCUGCGCGGAAGAUGUAACGGGGCUAAGCCAUAUACCGAAGCUGCGGAUGCGUGCUUGCACGCAUGGUAGGAGAGCGUUCCGUAAGCCUGCGAAGGUGCCUUGUAAAGGGUGCUGGAGGUAUCGGAAGUGCGAAUGCUGACAUGAGUAGCGAUAAAGGGGGUGAAAGGCCCCCUCGCCGUAAGCCCAAGGUUUCCUACGCAACGUUCAUCGGCGUAGGGUGAGUCGGCCCCUAAGGCGAGGCAGAAAUGCGUAGCUGAUGGGAAGCAGGUCAAUAUUCCUGCACCGUCGUUAGAUGCGAUGGGGGGACGGAUCGCGGAAGGUUGUCCGGGUGUUGGACGUCCCGGUCGCUGCAUUGGAGAAGGCGCUUAGGCAAAUCCGGGCGCGCAAUUCAAGGGUGUGGCGCGAGCGACUUCGGUCGCGAAGCAAUUGGAAGUGGUUCCAAGAAAAGCCUCUAAGCUUCAGUCUAACGAUGACCGUACCGCAAACCGACACAGGUGGGCGAGAUGAGUAUUCUAAGGCGCUUGAGAGAACUCGGGAGAAGGAACUCGGCAAAUUGGUACCGUAACUUCGGGAUAAGGUACGCCCUUGUAGCUUGACUGGCCUGCGCCAGGAGGGUGAAGGGGUUGCAAUAAACUGGUGGCUGCGACUGUUUAAUAAAAACACAGCACUCUGCAAACACGAAAGUGGACGUAUAGGGUGUGACGCCUGCCCGGUGCCGGAAGAUUAAAUGAUGGGGUGCAAGCUCUUGAUUGAAGUCCCGGUAAACGGCGGCCGUAACUAUAACGGUCCUAAGGUAGCGAAAUUCCUUGUCGGGUAAGUUCCGACCUGCACGAAUGGCGUAACGAUGGCCACACUGUCUCCUCCCGAGACUCAGCGAAGUUGAAGUGUUUGUGAUGAUGCAAUCUACCCGCGGCUAGACGGAAAGACCCCAUGAACCUUUACUGUAGCUUUGCAUUGGACUUUGAACCGAUCUGUGUAGGAUAGGUGGGAGGCUAUGAAACCGGAACGCUAGUUUCGGUGGAGCCGUCCUUGAAAUACCACCCUGGUUUGUUUGAGGUUCUAACCUUGGCCCGUGAUCCGGGUCGGGGACAGUGCAUGGUAGGCAGUUUGACUGGGGCGGUCUCCUCCCAAAGGGUAACGGAGGAGUACGAAGGUACGCUAGGUACGGUCGGAAAUCGUGCUGAUAGUGCAAUGGCAUAAGCGUGCUUAACUGCGAGACCGACAAGUCGAGCAGGUGCGAAAGCAGGUCAUAGUGAUCCGGUGGUUCUGUAUGGAAGGGCCAUCGCUCAACGGAUAAAAGGUACUCUGGGGAUAACAGGCUGAUACCGCCCAAGAGUUCAUAUCGACGGCGGUGUUUGGCACCUCGAUGUCGGCUCAUCUCAUCCUGGGGCUGUAGCCGGUCCCAAGGGUAUGGCUGUUCGCCAUUUAAAGAGGUACGUGAGCUGGGUUUAAAACGUCGUGAGACAGUUUGGUCCCUAUCUGCCGUGGGCGUUGGAUAUUUGAAGGGGGCUGCUCCUAGUACGAGAGGACCGGAGUGGACGAACCUCUGGUGUACCGGUUGUGACGCCAGUCGCAUCGCCGGGUAGCUAUGUUCGGAAGAGAUAACCGCUGAAAGCAUCUAAGCGGGAAACUCGCCUUAAGAUGAGAUAUCCCUGGAGGCUUGACCUCCUUGAAGGGUCGUUCGAGACCAGGACGUUGAUAGGUCGGGUGUGUAAGCGCAGUAAUGCGUUCAGCUAACCGAUACUAAUUGCCCGUAAGGCUUGAUCCU